GAAAAAAUAAGACGAUUAUAAAAAGUUCAAGAAAACUUCAAUAGGUUGAGACAAGAAUACUUCAAUACUACAGGUUUAACGACUACCCAUUUACGACAAUUGACCGUCGGUAAAUACUUAACCUACUGAUUAUUGUCAUCGUUAAAACCACGAUUUCUAGUGACUAAUUCAUCCCCGUAUUAUGUUAAUCUAAACCAACAAUCCUUUAAAAAUAAAGUAGAGUUUAGGGGAUUUACUCGAGCAAAAUACUUAGGAAGUGUCCUUAAUCUAUUAGGGAUUAUAUCCGUACCCAUGCAGAAUUGUAAUUAUUCUAUAGUGGUUCUAUUUAGUACUCAUUGAUUCUAUAGUGGUCCUCUUUCCUACUCAUUUACCGCGUGAUGCAAAAUUAUUGAUAUGAUAGAUAGGAUUAAUAAACUUAAAAGUGGUUACAUUAGGGGUCCUUUCUUACCUUUUUAAUAAAAGGAUCUUAUCAUGAAUAACUACAAUAUAAGAAAAUAUAUGAUUCUAUACGUGUCAACAAAACGUUUUGGGCUCGUGCUCUAUUUCGAAUUGCUUUUUUUUUUGUCUAUUAUAUUACAGGAGUUGUGUACCUUAACUCCUACCUAGUAUCUUGUCAAUUUAAAAUACUUAAAAUAAUUUAAUUGCGUUAGUUGGUAAAUAUUUAAGGGGUUGGCAACCAAGAUCUGGGAUGCAAUCGCUAUAAUGUAAAUGAUUUGUAAUUUUGCCCUUUGUAACUCUUUCUCCAUACAAAAAACUCAAACAAAAAAAAUUACUUAAAAUACUUUUACUUACUUUUCCCGUUUUCUUUAAGUGUUAUACUUGUCUAGCUAAAUGAAUCGUUUUUUUAUUUAAAUAUCACCCAAAAACGGAAAACGUAAAGAAUAAAAACGGACGUAGAUAAUAGAUUUAUUACGGUCACUUAUAUAUUUUUAGUGUAACUUUUAUUAUUGAGAAUAUAAAAAGUACUUUGUAAAUUUUAUCGAGAAUAAUGGUUAUUUUUUCUUUAUGCCUAAUAAGUGGUGUCACGUAAUGAUAUUAUUAUGGUAAAUCGGAGGCAAGCAAAACCAUUUACAAAAGCUUUUACGUGCACUUAUUCAUUCGGGACUCCAUAACAAAAGAGAGAUGGGAUUAGAGAAUCUUGGCUUUUACGUGCACUUAUUCAUUGGGGACUCCAUAACAAAAGAGAGAUGGGAUUAGAGAAUCUUGGCUUUUACGUGCACUUAUUCAUUGGGGACUCCAUAAAAAAGAUAUGGGAUUAGAAAAUCUUGUCUUUUACGUACACUUAUUCUUACAUUAGCUUGUUCGGUACAGUUGUGCCUUUGCGAAUGCCUUAUUCGAUAAAUAUGCAAUCGAUUUUGCUUCAUAUAUAUCAAAUAAUACAAUCUCUCCUUCAACACCGUGAUUUCUUAUUAUUAUAUAUCUCAAAGUUAAGGUUAUUAAGAAAAAGAAAAGGAUAUGGCGGACAUUAAUGUAACACCAGAAGUAGUGGAGGAUGUGGAAAUUGAUUUGGAAGCAAAGGCCAAGGAAUAUGAGGCUAGUUCCAAGGCCAACAACUCCGGAGAAUAUCAACUGACGACCGAUAUCAAGAACUUUAGCAAAGGCCGCGUGCACAAAGUGGAGACUCAUUUUUGGAAUGGACGCACUUUGACUAACUUCCCUGCACUCCCAAUUAACACUGGUGUUGCCAUGCGCCAGGCCGGACCCCUUCCUAAAGGUGUCAAGUGGGGAAUCGUCUAUGCUGAUGGUGAAGACACCACUGCUCGUAAAUUCAUCGUUGCUGUAGAUGGCCCAAGUGGAAAGGUUAUUAAGAAAAAGAAAAGGAUAUGGCGGACAUUAAUGUAACACCAGAAGUAGUGGAGGAUGUGGAAAUUGAUUUGGAAGCAAAGGCCAAGGAAUAUGAGGCUAGUUCCAAGGCCAACAACUCCGGAGAAUAUGAAUUGACGACCGAUAUCAAGAACUUUAGCAAAGGCCGCGUGCACAAAGUGGAGACUCAUUUUUGGAAUGGACGCACUUUGACUAACUUCCCUGCACUCCCAAUUAACACUGGUGUUGCCAUGCGCCAGGCCGGACCCCUUCCUAAAGGUGUCAAGUAGGGAAUCGUCUAUGCUAAUGGUGAAGACACCACUGCUCGUAAAUCCAUCGUUGUUGUAGAUGGCCCAAGUGGAAAGAUAUAUGUUGAAGCUGGACCAAUAGGUCUGGUUGAUUGGAACAUAGUUGAAGUGAAACUGGACCAACAUUCUGGAAGCAAAGCUGAGACCACUGACCCAAUUCUUGGAGGCAAGAUUGUGGCUCAGGUUACUUGUACUUAUGCAGUUGCAAGGUUCUACAAUUACCUUAAUUGUCACUUCGACCAGCUUCAGCUUGCUUGCUACAGGCUACACAGCUAGCAAGCAUCUGAGUUAUGCAAUUAAUUAAGUUCGUCUUUAUUUCGAUCAUGCACUUAAUAAAACAAAUGCUUCCCUCUUGGGAUUGUGAUUUGUGGUUUCUGAUCUGUGAUCAACGAAUAAAAAAGGAGGAUGUUCCCUUUUGUGCUUUGUAAUCACAUAGAUCUGUUAUCAAUGGAAAUUUAAGAGUUUUUUUUUUAAUACUAUUGGCUUGUG
Long non-coding RNA from Spinacia oleracea (spinach), 2600 nucleotides. RefSeq lists it as uncharacterized. The record is from RefSeq and is a predicted model, not a curated record. The transcript has 4 exons. NCBI's taxonomy places the organism in Eukaryota, Viridiplantae, Streptophyta, Magnoliopsida, Caryophyllales, Amaranthaceae.